GACUAUGUGAGGCAGAGUGAUGGAGUCACUCGCUGUAUUAGCAUUUCAGAGCUCACCCAUGGACAUCAAUACUCAGGAGACAUGAAUACUCAGUUGGACUAAGUUCAAGAGAACGUUUUGAACUUUAAGGAGUUGUUGGCACCCCUCCGUUCUGGAGCCCGGGUCUAUGCACGUGGGCCUCAUUUUGAAUGAUCAGCCCCUCUCCUCUGCCCAACUCAGUUGUUCUCAGCCUGGACUGCACAUUACACCCACCCAUGGAAACUUUGCAAGUCAUGCUCUCCUCCCUUCUCCAUCUCCACAGACCAAUUUGAUGGAAACAUACCUCUUCACACCUUUCGCCCUCCCUGUAUAUACCUGUGUUUUCUCCAGCCAGCAAAAAUUUGGAUUUUACGGAGAAGCAUCAGAACUAUAGUAUAGGGGAACGAAAUACAGAUUUACUACAUAAACCUAACUGUGGAGCAGAGGUCUCUUAACGGCCCAUGCCGACGUCAGUGGACAAGGACCGCAUCACGGACUGACAUCUGGCAGAGAAAGCCCAGUACCGGCAGUGUGGGGGAGCACUCUCUGGGGUGGGAGUGAUAAUGGUGGGUACAGUGUGGCAGCUGCGCUAUGUGUCCAGACGUGUGUGUUUAUGUCUAUGUUUGGCCUUUGCCUAAGAGCUUCAGCUCAAUAAGGGACUCAGGUCUGAGCGCCUUUGCUCCUGACUCCAAGAGACACGUGGGCUGGAAUCGCCAAGUCAAGGAAACUGCCGUCCGCUGGGCCAGUGAAACACUGGAGCCUGGGCAUCCUUUUAUUAGGCUCUUCCCUGAGUGUUUUUUAUUUCUUCAAACACUGCUAAGUGGCAGUGGUGCCAGGACCCUAAGAAUCAGCCCCUACAGAGGAAGAGCCUCUGUUCUAUCCGAACGGCACCAGCAAAUAAACUCCUGGAGGCCAGGGACCCUUCUGGUUGUAUCCCCAGGGUCUGCCACAUAGUAAGUGUGCGGCAAGUGUUUGCUGAAAGAAUUGAAACUAUAGCAUAGUUUUGUCAGAGUGAAGCCAUUUACAGGUAGGUGGUACCACUCUCAUCUGCAUUAUUUUUAUGCAAGUGUCCGUAAGGUCAUGACUAACAGGUUAGAGAUCCGCUGGAGCUGGUAAGUCAGUGAACCGAUAUCUGGUGUGGAACACAACAUAAAAUGAAUUUCUUUCCAAUUUGUCAUGCCAGUUUGCGGUUUUGUUUUAUGAAAUUUCUGAUACGGGUUGAAAAAAGUAGAAGAGUUGAAACACUGUUGCCUGAUAGGAUUUGUACUCCUGCCUCAUGAAGUUAGUAGUUGUAUCUUCACUGUGUGGGCUGGAAAGAGCUGUUAGCGACUGUCAUGACUGCCACUGAAAUCACUUUCAAAGCAGUUAAAAUAUUUUUGGAUCCCUAUGACGCAAAGCCCUAAGAGGAAGGGAAAGGAGGUCAAAGACAUUUAAUAAUUUGUCUCUGCCCUUAAGAGGCAUAAGUUCUAGUUGAGGGGCUGAGACAUAUACAUAUCUAUGGGGCUCACACCUUCAUUUCUUAUAAAACUUGCUAAAAUGUUCUAUCCACUUACCUGACCUUAUUUUGCUUCAUGGUACUUAUCACGUGUUUGUUCGCUAUCUGCUCCCACCAGAAUGGAAGUCCAUGAGGAUAAAAGGGAUUUGUUUAUUUUGUUCAUUUCUCUGUUUCUAGUGCCCUGUGCACUGGUUGGCACGUAGUAACCCCUUAGUAAAUAUAUAUUGAAUGAACUAUCAAUGUCAGGUAGCCUAUAAAUUCUUUAUUGACUAAGACUAGGUAAUUUGUGAGUCUUUUGAUGAUUACAUUUUAUAGUUACCCAUGGUCAAGGACAAAUGAUCAGCCAAUAAAAAAGAAUUUUAAAAAACCCCACUGUUUUAUUCUAUUCAGAAAAGAGAUGUGGAAUCCAGUAAUUUCACCUCUUUUAAACAUUUCUUGAUAUAUCUUAUUUUCGAUACAUCUUUUUUUCAGCAAGGCUUUUCGUUUGUUUGUUUCUGGUGUUUCUGCUAGAGUCAGUUAUCUUUCCCACCUCUGUUGCUGAAGUGACAACAGUACAGAUGGUCCUCAAAAAUGUCUGAUGACAUUUUGUACUAUACAGAACCAUAUACUCACAGAAAUCAUCUCUUUAUGGAUAUUGCAGUCUUUGGGGGAAAUAAAGGCCACAAGUUCUAAAUUGAUUAUUUGAGGGGGGAAAAGAAUCAAUACAUAACUGCUUAAUGUCUCUCAGACUCUGAAUUACAGGAAAAUUUUUGUUGAAACACAAUGAAGUUAUACUGUGCAAUUCAAUCACAGAGUAAAUCAUUCAGAGUUGGUUUUGCCCUAAAAUCCAUCAAUAAUAGCAAUAAUGUUUGGUAGCAAAUGCAAUUUUGAAGACUGAUGUGAACUGUCUACUUAAAAAGCCACAGCACUAACCAAUUACAUUUUCUCAUAGUCAUUUCCAGUUGUUUUUUAUUUUUUGUUUUGUUUUGUUUUGGGUAGGCAUGGUAUCUUGGAUAACACCCGGUGAUAAUAACUAAGGAACUGUAAUUCUGCAGCCUUAGCUUGGCUUAUUUUAUGCCUUAGGGAAUGAAUAAGCAUGUAAAUUAGACAUGAGUCACUACAGUCACUUGUCAAUCCAGAAAUAUUCAUGAGCAAGGUAGGCCAAAAAUGACUGGUGGUGAUUGUUGAAUCUACUGAAAUGUAGAGCUUUCUUUAAAAUAUAUUACUUUCUCUAAUUGAGUUAGAUGAGUUUCACACAUUUGGCUCAUAUACCAACCCGAGGGAUUGAUAAACAGGAGGUGAAAACCCGAGGGUCAGGUUAAAUUUGAAAAAAAAAAAAUCAGAAAAUCACUUAAGAUCGGGUAAGAUGACCUUUAAACUACCUUCCGACCAGACACUACGAUUUUAAGGAAUCGUAGCCCAUCGCAGCGUGCAUUCAUCCAGCAGGAUCUCGCAGAGCAGCAGUAGGAAUCUGAAAUAUCAGUGAUAGAGAGGAAGAGAUAAUUCACAAAUUCCUCAAUCCAGAUUGACAAAUAGCCAAACGGGUAUUUUCCAAGCUUGCUGGGUCUGAAGAGUGACGCGAUAAGCUUGUUAAAAAUACCUAGGCUCAGGUUCCUCUCCAUCCCUGAGCUUUGCAGAUUCGGAUGGAGUGGACACAAUUUGAAUAAAAAGGAAAACUUUCCUAAAAUCCUACCAGGAAUUAGAUAAAUGUAGCUUUACUGUUCCACAUCAAUUACAUAAAAUGACUCAUCCUAACCAUCUACAUGUUUUCCUGGUCCAGGGGGUUGUGAGUUUAGAUUUUAAAUUACCACAGGCAGAGAAGUUUAACCACAUCCAAAUUUGACUAAUGUUUUACAUAUAUAUAUGUAUAUUUACUUAAUAUUUAAAAAUUAUAUAUACUUAUGUAAUAUUAUGCAUAUAAAAUAUGUAUUAUAUAUAACACUGUAUGUGUGGUUGCUUUUUAAAACACUGAAUGGGAAAGACAUGUUUUCACAUCCUCAUUUGUACUGCAAUAUCAAUUUUCAGGAAAAGAGGACUUCCCAAAGCUUUAAAAAAGUGUGCAAUUGCCAAUCAGAUGUUUUAGAUUACAUUGUUAACACUAUUUAUCAUGGAAAAAAUGAUGUGAAAGGAUGAGCACACUGAUAUCUGAACAACAUCGUUAAAAAUAAAAAAAGUUU
This is a long non-coding RNA of Ailuropoda melanoleuca (giant panda), 3669 nucleotides long. RefSeq lists it as uncharacterized. The record is from RefSeq and is a predicted model, not a curated record. The transcript has 4 exons. Lineage: Eukaryota; Metazoa; Chordata; Mammalia; Carnivora; Ursidae.